UACGUAGGGGGCAAGCGUUGUCCGGAAUCAUUGGGCGUAAAGAGCGUGUAGGCGGCCAGAUAAGUCCGCUGUGAAAACUCGAGGCUCAACCUCGAGACGUCGGUUGAAACCGUAAGGCUAGAGUCCGGAAGAGGAGAGUGGAAUUCCCGGUGUAGCGGUGAAAUGCGCAGAUAUCGGGAAGAACACCCGUGGCGAAGGCGGCUCUCUGGGACGGUACUGACGCUGAGACGCGAAAGCGUGGGGAGCGAACAGG
Molecule: ribosomal RNA, 253 nt
Filed under: uncultured bacterium
Lineage: Bacteria
Description: partial 16S ribosomal RNA
Rfam family: Bacterial small subunit ribosomal RNA
Source: RNAcentral